This 253-nucleotide ribosomal RNA is filed under the name uncultured bacterium. RNAcentral's name for it is "partial 16S ribosomal RNA". It matches the Rfam family "Bacterial small subunit ribosomal RNA", at positions 524 to 776 of the family's 1533-position model. The record is from RNAcentral.
GACGGAGGGUGCGAGCGUUAAUCGGAUUUACUGGGCGUAAAGGGCGCGUAGGCGGUUAAAUGAGUGUGAUGUGAAAGCCCCGGGCUCAACCUGGGAAGUGCAUCGCAAACGAUUUAACUGGAGUAGAUGAGAGGGUGGUGGAAUUUCCGGUGUAGCGGUGAAAUGCGUAGAGAUCGGAAGGAACGUCAAUGGCGAAGGCAGCCACCUGGCAUCAUACUGACACUGAGGCGCGAAAGCGUGGGUAGCAAAAGGG